CGCGUGCCUAUCAGGCUUUGUUGGCGGGGUAACGGCCCACCAAGGCGACGACGGGUAGCUGGUCUGAGAGGACGGCCGGCCACACUGGGACUGAGACACGGCCCAGACUCCUACGGGAGGCAGCAGUGGGGAAUCUUGCGCAAUGGGCGAAAGCCUGACGCAGCGACGCCGCGUGGGGGAUGAAGGCCCUCGGGUUGUAAACCCCUUUCGGCAGGGACAAAGCGAAAGUGACGGUACCUGCAGAAGAAGCUCCGGCUAACUACGUGCCAGCAGCCGCGGUAAGACGUAGGGAGCGAGCGUUGUCCGGAUUUAUUGGGCGUAAAGCGCGCGUAGGCGGCCGUGCAAGUCGGUUGUGAAAUUCCGGGGCUCAACCCCGGGACUGCGUCCGAUACUGUGCGGCUCGAGGCAGGCAGGGGAGAGUGGAAUUCCCGGUGUAGCGGUGAUAUGCGCAGAUAUCGGGAGGAACACCGGUGGCGAAGGCGGCUCUCUGGGCCUGUCCUGACGCUCAGGCGCGAAAGCUAGGGGAGCGAACAGGAUUAGAUACCCUGGUAGUCCUAGUCGUAAACGUUGGGCGCUAGGUGUGGGGAGAUAUCGACCCUUUCCGUGCCGAAGCUAACGCAUUAAGCGCCCCGCCUGGGGAGUACG
This 645-nucleotide ribosomal RNA is filed under the name uncultured actinomycete. Its description in RNAcentral is "bacterial SSU rRNA". It matches the Rfam family "Bacterial small subunit ribosomal RNA", at positions 231 to 884 of the family's 1533-position model. The record is from RNAcentral. Lineage: Bacteria; Bacillati; Actinomycetota; Actinomycetes; Actinomycetales.